AUACAGCAGCUCCUGCUGCUUUAUAUAUAUAAUGACUUGAAUCUAUUUCUAUAAGUAUAUGUAUUUCCUUUUGUCCUUUUGCAUCCCUCCUUCCCUGCCUCUCCUCCCCCCCCCCCCCCCCCCCCCCCCCCCCCCCCCCCCCCCCCCCCCCCCAACAUCUCUCUUACCUGCUCAGCUGUCUUUCUCUUCUGCCACCUCUACGAGCUGUUUGUUGGUACAGUCACAUAUUUGUUUGAAUCAGUUCAAUUAAUUGUGAGAUUAGUUUGGCCAUGUCUAGAAUACUGAAAUAUAGGCUUAGUGGAGCAUAGCUUGCGAUCUUUAGUCAGCACCUAUAUGUAAUUUCUUGGGGGUAAGCAUCAAGUUCCCUUGGAAAGGCUGCUACUAAACAAAUAUUGAACAAACAAAUUAUCCACUUUUGAAGUACCCGUGAAAUUAUUAGAGGCAUGCUCUACAAAGAUAGGUGUGCUUUUUUGCUCUAUCACUUGCAACAGGCAUAAAGUUAAAAAUGUUCUGAAGAAGCAGCUAGCUUUGAUCCAGUGAAGUUAUUUAGCAAGUCAUGGUAGCCCAAGAGAGGUUGUGUGGCUUAAUGGUAAUAUUAUUAAUAUUUAAGGAUUUAGGUUUAUCAAAUUUGGGAGCAUGUAUUCUCAUUUUCAGUACGGUGGGGAAGUAAACUUAACCUUUGCAUGUAACUGGAAAACUUUCAGUAGGGUAUUGCUGUGUAUGAGUAUAUAAAUUGCUCAGAACAUGAAUAUAUGAAAUCUCUCUUGUUUCUUUUACUUGUGACCUAAGAAUCAGAGAGAACACGCUUCCUGCUGGACAGUGUUGCCAUUCAUGAAGUGGUAGCAAAAUUUUGAAGUAUGUGAAGUAUUAAGAAAUACCAAAUGUGUUAAUAUCCAUAAACCUACUAUCUAGGUAUUUCCCAAACCUACUGCUUUUUUUCUUCCUGUAAAUUUUGUAAAGUGGGCAAAAAUAAAUGUUUAGUAAUUUGCCUGGGAUUUCUGGUGUCUUAGCAACAUCAUUAGAGAUGACUAGAAGUCCCAGGAGAAUGAUCACUGAUCACGCGUGCAUCUUCUGCAUCGUUUUUCAGCAUGCAAAUCAAAACCUAAAAGCAACAGAAGGGAAGUGUAAUCGCUCCCUAAGAAACAAAAUUUCAAAGGUUCACGGUCAGAAUGUAACCUUACAUAAAAUGGAAACCUGUGAAGAAAGUCACAGAUAG
This 1216-nucleotide long non-coding RNA is filed under the name Phasianus colchicus (ring-necked pheasant). RNAcentral's name for it is "lncRNA (ENSPCLG00000002663.1)". Lineage: Eukaryota; Metazoa; Chordata; Aves; Galliformes; Phasianidae. The record is from RNAcentral.